AAAGUCCGACGGUACAGGGUGAUAGUCCCGUACACCAAAAUGCACAGGCUGUGAACUCGAAGAGUAGGGCGGGACACGUGGUAUCCUGUCUGAAUAUGGGGGGACCAUCCUCCAAGGCUAAAUACUCCUGACUGACCGAUAGUGAACCAGUACCGUGAGGGAAAGGCGAAAAGAACCCCGGCGAGGGGAGUGAAAAAGAACCUGAAACCGUGUACGUA
This 218-nucleotide ribosomal RNA is filed under the name Klebsiella pneumoniae. Its description in RNAcentral is "partial 23S ribosomal RNA". It matches the Rfam family "Bacterial large subunit ribosomal RNA", at positions 346 to 566 of the family's 2925-position model. The record is from RNAcentral. Lineage: Bacteria; Pseudomonadati; Pseudomonadota; Gammaproteobacteria; Enterobacterales; Enterobacteriaceae.